GAUGAACGCUGGCGGCGUGCCUAAUACAUGCAAGUCGAGCGAACAGACGAGGAGCUUGCUCCUCUGACGUUAGCAGCGGACGGGUGAGUAACACGUGGAUAACCUACCUAUAAGACUGGGAUAACUUCGGGAAACCGGAGCUAAUACCGGAUAAUAUAUUGAACCGCAUGGUUCAAUAGUGAAAGACGGUUUUGCUGUCACUUAUAGAUGGAUCCGCGCCGCAUUAGCUAGUUGGUAAGGUAACGGUUUACCAAGGCAACGAUGCGUAGCCGACCUGAGAGGGUGAUCGGCCACACUGGAACUGAGACACGGUCCAGACUCCUACGGGAGGCAGCAGUAGGGAAUCUUCCGCAAAGGGCGAAAGCCUGACGGAGCAACGCCGCGUGAGUGAUGAAGGUCUUCGGAUCGUAAAACUCUGUUAUUAGGGAAGAACAAAUGUGUAAGUAACUAUGCACGUCUUGACGGUACCUAAUCAGAAAGCCACGGCUAACUACGUG
RNAcentral lists this ribosomal RNA (497 nucleotides) under uncultured bacterium. Its description in RNAcentral is "partial 16S ribosomal RNA". It matches the Rfam family "Bacterial small subunit ribosomal RNA", at positions 28 to 507 of the family's 1533-position model. The record is from RNAcentral.